CUCCGGUGACACCAGGGGAGACCAUGUCCCCUGCAGUGACAUGGAGUGUUUGGUCUGACUGCUCUGCUUUCCUCCAGGUCCAGGGGUGCUGCCUGGGGUUGGCGGUGUUCCAGGCCUCGUGCCCGGCGUUGGCGGUGUCCCCGGUUUGGUGCCCGGUGUUGGAGGUGUCCCCGGGGUGGCAGGAGUCGGUGCGCCAGCAGCAGCGGCAGCAGCAAAGGCAGCUAAAUAUGGAGCUGGUGUCGGUGUUCCCGGCAUUGGUGGUGUUCCUGGUGUUCCUGGCGUCCCUGGUGUCCCUGGUGUUCCUGGCGUCCCUGGUGUUCCUGGUGUCCCUGGUGUUCCUGGUGUCCCUGGUGUUGCUGGUGUCCCUGGUGUGCCCGGUGUGCCUGGUGUGGCCGGGGUUCCUGGUGUGGUGCCCGGUGUCGGAGGUGAGCAGAUGGACUGGCAUGAGCCAAUGGGUGGUGAUGUCCUCCCUGGUCCCCUGACUCUCUCCCUUCUGUCCCUGCAGUGGGUGGCCCAGGAGCUGCGGCGGCUGCAGCAAAGGCUGCGGCAAAAGCUGCAGCAUAUGGUAAGUAAGUCACCAUCCUCCUUCCCCAGGGAGGGAGGAGGGAUGCUGGCAAAUGGGCACCCCUGGUGCUGUGGGUGGUGGGGAGGUCAGCAGGACCCUGCCUACAGAGCCGGCCUGCUGGGCCACAUCCCUGAACCCCUCUGCAGGAGCAGGGCGCGUGCCCGGUGUCGGCGUGCCCGGAGUUGGUGUGCCCGGUGUCGGCGUGCCUGGAGUUGGUGUGCCUGGUGUUGGCGUGCCCGGUCUGGUGCCCGGUGGGGUCGCAGGCAUACCAGGAGUCGGAGUUCCAGGAGCCGCCGCUGCUGCCAAAGCAGCUGCCAAAGCAGCUAAGUUCGGUAAGCUGCGAUCUCUCUGGGGUUAUCCCCCCUGUCCUGUCUCCUGCCGCUUCCCCACCCUAAGCUGCUC
RNAcentral lists this long non-coding RNA (967 nucleotides) under Athene cunicularia (burrowing owl). RNAcentral's name for it is "lncRNA (ENSACUG00000009318.1)". Lineage: Eukaryota; Metazoa; Chordata; Aves; Strigiformes; Strigidae. The record is from RNAcentral.